UGGCGAAAGGGUUAGUAAUAAAUAGGUAACGUACCUUAUGCUUCAGGAUAGCGUCAGAAAACUUCGGUUUUCAUCCGAAAGGGGCGGUAAUACUGAAUAAUAUCAUUUUUCGAUGGAAAAAUGAUCAAAGAUUUAUCGGCAUAUGAGCGGCCUAUUUCCUAUCAGCUUGUUGGUGAGGUAAAAGCUCACCAAGGCUAAGACGGGUAGCGGGACUGAGAGGUUGACCCGCAACAUCGGGACUGAGACACUGCCCGGACCUCCACGGAGGGCUGCAGUAACGAAUAUUGCGCAAUGGGCGAAAGCCUGACGCAGCGACGCCGCGUGUAGGAGGAAGUCCCUCGGGAUGUAAACUACUGUCGAGAGAUUAGAAAGUGCACUUCGGUGCAUUGAUCAGUCUCACAGGAAGUCACGGCUAACUUCGUGCCAGCAGCCGCGGUAAGACGAAGGUGGCUAGCGUUGUUCGGUGUCACUGGGCUUAAAGCGUGUGUAGGCGGAAAAGUAAGCGUCUUGUGAAAUCCCUCGGCUUAACCGAGGAAUUGCUGGGCGAACUACUUUUCUUGAGGCAAGUAGGGGUGCAUGGAACUCUUGGUGGAGCGGUGGAAUGCGUAGAUAUCAAGAGGAACGCCGAUGGAGAAAUCAGUGCACUGGGCUUGUCCUGACGCUGAGACACGAAAGCGUGGGGAGCGAACGGGAUUAGAUACCCCGGUAGUCCACGCCGUAAACGAUGUCUACUA
This 734-nucleotide ribosomal RNA is filed under the name uncultured bacterium. RNAcentral's name for it is "bacterial SSU rRNA". It matches the Rfam family "Bacterial small subunit ribosomal RNA", at positions 96 to 818 of the family's 1533-position model. The record is from RNAcentral.